This 491-nucleotide ribosomal RNA is filed under the name uncultured bacterium. Its description in RNAcentral is "bacterial SSU rRNA". It matches the Rfam family "Bacterial small subunit ribosomal RNA", at positions 903 to 1397 of the family's 1533-position model. The record is from RNAcentral.
AAAGGAAUUGACGGGGACCCGCACAAGCAGCGGAGCAUGUGGUUUAAUUCGAAGCAACGCGAAGAACCUUACCAAGAAUUGACAUCCCUCGAAUUCAUAUGAAAGUAUGGAGUCCUUCGGGACGGGGAGACAGGUGGUGCAUGGUUGUCGUCAGCUCGUGUCGUGAGAUGUUCGGUUAAGUCCGGCAACGAGCGCAACCCUUAUUGACAGUUGCCAAUAUUAAGUUAGGAACUCUGUCGAAACUGCCGUGAAUAACGCGGAGGAAGGUGGGGAUGACGUCAAAUCAUCAUGCCCUUUAUAUCUUGGGCUACACACGUGCUACAAUGGGCGCAACAAAGAGCGGCGAGUGAGUAAUCAUGAGCGAAUCUCAAAAAAGCGUUCUCAGUUCAGAUUGUGGGCUGCAACCCGCCCACAUGAAGUAGGAGUUGCUAGUAAUCACGAAUCAGAACGUCGUGGUGAAUGCGUUCCCGGGUCUUGUACACACCGCCCGU